GGGCGGUUAGCUCAGUGGUAGAGCACCGCCUUCACACGGCGGGGGUCACUGGUUCGAACCCAGUAUCGCCCACCA
RNAcentral lists this transfer RNA (75 nucleotides) under Pseudomonadota bacterium. RNAcentral's name for it is "tRNA-Val". It matches the Rfam family "tRNA". From Rfam's summary of the family: Transfer RNA (tRNA) molecules are approximately 80 nucleotides in length. Their secondary structure includes four short double-helical elements and three loops (D, anti-codon, and T loops). Lineage: Bacteria; Pseudomonadati; Pseudomonadota. The record is from RNAcentral.